Molecule: long non-coding RNA, 502 nt
Organism: Hyaena hyaena (striped hyena)
Lineage: Eukaryota; Metazoa; Chordata; Mammalia; Carnivora; Hyaenidae
Exons: 3
Source: RefSeq, a predicted model, not a curated record
GAGAAUCUCUCAUCUCCAGUCAAAAGGGAAGGCUGUCAAUGGGACCAUCUCGAGAAUUUGUAAUGUAUCCACUACAUUUGGAAAACAGAGUGGACUGGUGAAUGAUUCGUGGAAAAUCCAAAGGCCAAAGGGUGGUCACUUUGAUAGUAGGUUAGGGGAUAGUUGGCUAUGCUGGAUGACCUGUGUUACCCAAAUUUUUCGGAAUGAGAGAUACGUGGUUACCUGUUGUGGACCAGGCAGAGGACACAGGAGGGAGAAAGCCAAUGGGAUUGUAUUGGAUUCUGGUCGGAAGGACCAUCUGGAGGAGGAAGAGACCUCAGCAGACAAAAACCAAAGUUCUGGAGAUUGGAAGUCUGAGACCAGGAUGCCAGCAUGGUGGAGUGAGGGCUGGCUUCCAGACACAAUGGCUGGAGAUGGAGCAGUCAUCUUGUGGCAUGAAGGACAAACCAAAGAAGUCACAGAAGAAUAAACCCCCAAAUCUUUAAAACUCUGACCUACCUCA